UGCUCUUUCUUUGCUCUGGUUCCUGCAUAAGCAUCCCCUCUGGGGGGUCAGAGUUGAUGAUGGUUGUAAGACGGGUCUCUGCUAUACUGUGGGAUGGGGGGGAUAGCCAUGGAGUCUGAAGGACUGGGGAAGACAGAGGGGAGCAGCCCAGUCUGGAAUGGGAUCAUGAUGGAUUGCAAGAGAAGUUGUGUCCCUCUGGCAGCGAUUCUCCCCUUCACCUUCAAGAGAGAGAAGUAACUCGGGGAUACAUUUUUAAUGCAGAUUCAAUUCCUAUAUGGCACUCUAAAUACUAAGCUGAAGGCUAAACAUAAAUGUUUGCAGUCUUCAAUCAAGAAACUUCAGUGGUGAUGUGGGAAUAGUGGGGCUGCUGGCACUGGAGAGACAGAAAUACAGAUAGAUGUUUUCACUUGUCUGGGUGUUGCUGCCAUUCAUUAGACUUCUCACAACUGCUCACCAAAAUACCUUCAGAGGUAAUAACAAAAUCAACCAAUGCAUCUGUGUUUAAAAGGUCCUCUACUCAUGUAUUGCAAUUCUCUGGCAAAAGAUUUUUUGGGACAUCAUGCAGGAAUUAUACUAACUGUUGAGGGAACAUUUCUUAGCGUGUACUGGUGACAUCUUUUCAUGUAAAUGACUGAGAACCUGGUGAGAGGAGAGAUCUUGCUUGGACCUCCUAUUCACAAAGGAAGAAUGGGUAAGGGAUGUGAAGGUUAAGGAUUGCUGCAGCUACAGUGACUGUGAGAUGACAGUGCUCAAGAUUCCAAAAGGAUUAAGGCAAAAAGCAGGAUUGUAUCCCAGACCUCAGGAGAGCAGGCUUUAGCCUGUUUGGGGACCAAGAAGAACACAGACAUACUGCCCAGUUCUGCAGGGAUAGGGUUAGGAAAGCCAAGUCCUGAUAUGGGAUACAAAAGGUGCCAAGAAUGACUUUGAGUACAGCAGCAGAAAAAAGCAGGGUGGGGAAAACAUGAGCCCACUGGUGAAGAGGACCUGGUGACAAAGGGCACAGGAAUGUCUGAGGUACUGAAUCCCAUUUUUAUCUCAGUCUUUAGUAGUAAGACUAGCCAGAACUCUGGAGCAAGGGAGAUGUCCUCCUCCUUGAUGGAGAAGAACCAAAUUAGGGAACACUUAAGCAAACUGGAUGUACUGAACAAACUGCCCAUGGGAUGUGUUGAGACAUACCCAGGAAUGCUUUGAGAAGUGGCUAAUAUCAUUGCAAGACUGCAUUUAAUUAAAAAAUUAAAUGCUCUUUGGGAGCUCAUGGGAAACAGAGGAAGAUCCUGAGGACUGGAAGAAGGUUGAGCUGAGGAAGGGAGUGACAGAGAGGCUUUGGUGGGCACCAGGCAUCCAGUCAGGGUCAACCCACCUCAGUCAGAAAACCAGACAUUUUCAGUGUUUAUCUGGCUGCAUAAAGAAAGUGACUAACAAGAGCAUGAAUAGUUAACCUGUAAAUAAAGAUUCAGAGAUUACAUGAAAGGACAGAUAGCAAAGCACAGACACUAAAGUGGUAUGUGAGUUUUUUAAAUUUUUUCUCCUGUCCACUAUACGCAAAACAAGCACAGCUAGUAAUUAUUUGCAGCUCUCUUGGAUUCUCACUUUUAAUAAGCAGGUUUCAAUUUAAAUGAUACCUUUGUGCUGGCUGCACCAGUUGCUGCAUUGCUGAGAUGCUUGGGAAAAUGAGCUGAGCCAGCCCACUCCUGGUGUCUGAGUGUUUAGAAAAGCAGCUGAUGAAAACACUACCUACCCCUUCUGAAGGUGGCUGCUGCACUCACACGUAGCUGUCCUUACUUAUGUAUAAAUUUAAGUUGUAAGGACUGAAAUUUUGAAUGUGCAUUGUGAAAGUGGCACUAAAGACAGAAGAUACAUUCCCAAAGCUAUGUGAGCCAAGAAUGACUUCACCUUUUCCAGCCUCAAGAACACCAAGGAACACAGCAGCUGAUCUGAGAGCUUUUUUGCUUCCAAGAUGCAAGAGAUCUCUUCCUGCUCAAAUAUUCUUUUCCCCUCAAGUUGUUUGUUUUUUUUUUUCAUACCCCACUGUUAUUAAUUUACACCUUGCCAGGAUUUGUAAGACUGAUUUUAUUGCUGUUGUUGUGGGAACAGAAUUCUCAGCCAUAUGGCAUGACAUCUUCAUUUCUGCAUGACAGGAGACAGGAUCCAUUUUACAGUUUUGCAGUGCUGCAAAAAAAAAGCCUUAAUUUUCUUAGGGAAGAUCCAUAUUAAAAUAGAGAAAUAUAUAUAUAUAUAUGUAGUGAACAAAUUCUUUCCCAAGGGACUAACUUGGACUGGAAAUGCUUAAAAGAAUAUUUUGGUCUUCUGCAUAAAUCCAAAAUUUGCCCAUCACAGUAAUACAUUUUUAAUUUGGCUGAACUUUGGUCUGUUUGUUUUUUAAAUUUUGUCAUUUGGUGGGUUUUUGGGGGUUGUUUCUUGGUUGGUUGUGUUGUUGUUGGUAUUUUUCCAACUGUAGAAAUAACAGGAGAGAGGCCAAAACCCCUGACCCAGGACAGGGAAGUGCCACAAAUUUUCAUGUGCAUACUGAUGGUCUGUGUCCAGUAUUCCUGACCUAGCAGGGCUGGUGUCUCAUAAUCUAACUAUCUUGGCUUUGAACAUAUGGAGUGCCUUGUCUUGGUCUAAAAAGAAAUAAUACCACCCAUACUAAGAUGAUUGUUUCACUGUGAAAGUUCCCCUGAAGAUGAAGAUCCAAUAACAGAAGGAUUUCUACCCUCUGACUUUAAUUAGAUGCAUCAGUCUUGCAUCUUCUCUGAGAAAAUGAACUGACUUGUUAAUAAUACAGCUUAAGGGUGUUUUCUAAUGAGAAUUUAAACUGAUAUGCUAUCGACCAAUGUCAUCCAUUCUGGGCUGUGCAGGAGGGUGUCCCUCCUGAUGUUUUGCAUAGAUGUGUAUUUUGG
This is a long non-coding RNA of Passer domesticus (house sparrow), 2900 nucleotides long. RefSeq lists it as uncharacterized. Lineage: Eukaryota; Metazoa; Chordata; Aves; Passeriformes; Passeridae. The transcript has 4 exons. The record is from RefSeq and is a predicted model, not a curated record.